This 230-nucleotide long non-coding RNA is filed under the name Lathyrus oleraceus (garden pea). Its description in RNAcentral is "Pisum sativum (pea) long non-coding RNA (PSAT_LNC029399)". Lineage: Eukaryota; Viridiplantae; Streptophyta; Magnoliopsida; Fabales; Fabaceae. The record is from RNAcentral.
UUUCAAUUUAUUUCAUGUCAUUGUAGACCAUUACAUGUGAGUCCAUACAAGAAAAUACAAGAAAAUACAAAUUUUGACAUUUUGACCAACUGUUGACUUUGGUCAAUAGUUGACUUUUUGGUCAACUUUGACCAAAGUCAACCCAAAUCCAUUAAACCUUAAAUUCACCCAUAAUUGUCCAUUGAAUAUCCAUUUACAAAGAAGAUCAUAAUUGACACCGACCCUGGAAU